GGAAAUGUGGCUUAGUGGUAGAGUGCUUGCCUAGCACGCAUGAAGCUCUGGGUUCAAAACCUCAGUACCA
Non-coding RNA from Dipodomys ordii (Ord's kangaroo rat), 70 nucleotides. NCBI's taxonomy places the organism in Eukaryota, Metazoa, Chordata, Mammalia, Rodentia, Heteromyidae. The record is from Rfam.